RNAcentral lists this ribosomal RNA (440 nucleotides) under uncultured bacterium. Its description in RNAcentral is "partial 16S ribosomal RNA". It matches the Rfam family "Bacterial small subunit ribosomal RNA", at positions 338 to 795 of the family's 1533-position model. The record is from RNAcentral.
CCUACGGGAGGCAGCAGUGGGGAAUAUUGCACAAUGGGGGAAACCCUGAUGCAGCGACGCCGCGUGAGUGAAGAAGUAUUUCGGUACGUAAAGCUCUAUCAGCAGGGAAGAAAAUGACGGUACCUGACUAAGAAGCCCCGGCUAACUACGUGCCAGCAGCCGCGGUAAUACGUAGGGGGCAAGCGUUAUCCGGAUUUACUGGGUGUAAAGGGAGCGUAGACGGCAGCGCAAGUCUGGAGUGAAAUCCCAUGGCUUAACCAUGGAACUGCUUUGGAAACUGUGCAGCUGGAGUGCAGGAGAGGUAAGCGGAAUUCCUAGUGUAGCGGUGAAAUGCAUAGAUAUCGCGCAGAACUCCGAUUGCGAAGGCAGCAUGCCGGCUCCACACUGACGCUGAGGCACGAAAGCGUGGGUAUCGAACAGGAUUAGAUACCCGUGUAGUC